AGCAGCCGCGGUAAUUCCAGCUCCAAUAGCGUAUAUUAAAGUUGCUGCAGUUAAAAAGCUCGUAGUUGAAUUUCGGGACUAAUAUGUUGGUCGUGCCUCGGUACGUACUGAUAUUUUUGGUUUCUCCCUUCUGACGAACCUUGAUGUCAUUAAUUUGGUGUCUUGGGAAAUCAGGACUGUUACUUUGAAAAAAUUAGAGUGUUUAAAGCAGGCUCACGCUUGAAUACAUUAGCAUGGAAUAAUGAAAUAGGACGUUUGAUUCUAUUUUGUUGGUUUCUAGGAUUGACGUAAUGAUUAAUAGGGAUAGUUGGGGGCAUUAGUAUUCAAUUGUCAGAGGUGAAAUUCUCGGAUUUAUUGAAGACUAACUACUGCGAAAGCAUUUGCCAAGGAUGUUUUCAUUAAUCAAGAACGAAAGUUAGGGGAUCGAAGACGAUCAGAUACCGUCGUAGU
Molecule: ribosomal RNA, 450 nt
Filed under: uncultured Glomeromycotina
Lineage: Eukaryota; Fungi; Glomeromycota
Description: SSU rRNA
Rfam family: Eukaryotic small subunit ribosomal RNA
Source: RNAcentral